GAGAGGCGGCUCACUGGCUCAUUAAGCGUAACUCUUCUUCCUGUUUUCAAGUCUGUAUAUAUGUUUAUAGGUUUGAUGUAGUUGUUAUCCGUGUUCAGAUUUUGUUCUUGGGGGUCA
Thalassophryne amazonica is the source of this 117-nucleotide long non-coding RNA. RefSeq lists it as uncharacterized. The record is from RefSeq and is a predicted model, not a curated record. Lineage: Eukaryota; Metazoa; Chordata; Actinopteri; Batrachoidiformes; Batrachoididae. The transcript has 3 exons.